GCGGAAGUACCCAAGAGGCCGAAGGGGCUCCCCUGCUAAGGGAGUAGGUCGGGAAACCGGCGCGAGGGUUCAAAUCCCUCCUUCCGCGCCA
This 91-nucleotide transfer RNA is filed under the name Clostridiales bacterium. RNAcentral's name for it is "tRNA-Ser". It matches the Rfam family "tRNA". From Rfam's summary of the family: Transfer RNA (tRNA) molecules are approximately 80 nucleotides in length. Their secondary structure includes four short double-helical elements and three loops (D, anti-codon, and T loops). Lineage: Bacteria; Bacillati; Bacillota; Clostridia; Eubacteriales. The record is from RNAcentral.